This 301-nucleotide ribosomal RNA is filed under the name uncultured bacterium. RNAcentral describes it as "partial 16S ribosomal RNA". It matches the Rfam family "Bacterial small subunit ribosomal RNA", at positions 509 to 807 of the family's 1533-position model. The record is from RNAcentral.
CAGCAGCCGCGGUAAUACGAAGGGUGCAAGCGUUAAUCGGAAUUACUGGGCGUAAAGCGUGCGUAGGCGGUGAGUUAAGUCUGCUGUGAAAUCCCCGGGCUCAACCUGGGAAUGGCAGUGGAUACUGGCUCGCUAGAGUGUGUCAGAGGACGGUGGAAUUCCCGGUGUAGCGGUGAAAUGCGUAGAGAUCGGGAGGAACAUCAGUGGCGAAGGCGGCCAUCUGGGACAACACUGACGCUGAGGCACGAAAGCGUGGGGAGCAAACAGGAUUAGAUACCCCCGUAGUCCCUGUCUCUUAUAC